UAUCAAUAAGCGGAGGAAAAGAAACCAACAGGGAUUGCCCUAGUAACGGCGAGUGAAGCGGCAACAGCUCAAAUUUGAAAUCGGCCCACCGGUCGAGUUGUAAUUUGCAGAGGAUGCUUCUGGGCAGCGGCCGGUCUAAGUUCCUUGGAACAGGACGUCAUAGAGGGUGAGAAUCCCGUAUGCGACCGGCGCGCACCCUCCACGUAGCUCCUUCGACGAGUCGAGUUGUUUGGGAAUGCAGCUCUAAAUGGGAGGUAAAUUUCUUCUAAAGCUAAAUACCGGCCAGAGACCGAUAGCGCACAAGUAGAGUGAUCGAAAGAUGAAAAGCACUUUGGAAAGAGAGUUAAAAAGCACGUGAAAUUGUUGAAAGGGAAGCGCUUGCCACCAGACUUGACGGCGGGGUUCCGCCGGUCUUCUGACCGGUCCACUCCCCGCCGGCAGGCCAACAUCGUCUGGGGCCGCCGGAUAAGACGUCAGGAAUGUAGCUCCUCGGAGUGUUAUAGCCUCUCGUGAUGCGGCGCGCCCCGGGCGAGGUCCGCGCUUCGGCAAGGAUGUUGGCGUAAUGGUUGUCAGCGGCCCGUCUUGAAACACGG
This 593-nucleotide ribosomal RNA is filed under the name Stomiopeltis sp. CCRS 8.20.96 4R Gp002. RNAcentral's name for it is "eukaryotic LSU rRNA". It matches the Rfam family "Eukaryotic large subunit ribosomal RNA", at positions 41 to 664 of the family's 3401-position model. The record is from RNAcentral. Lineage: Eukaryota; Fungi; Ascomycota; Dothideomycetes; Capnodiales.